AAAGGAAUAGACGGGGACCCGCACAAGCGGUGGAGCAUGUGGUUUAAUUCGAAGCAACGCGAAGAACCUUACCAAGUCUUGACAUCCUUCUGACAGAGUAUGUAAUGUACUUUUCCUUCGGGACAGAAGAGACAGGUGGUGCAUGGUUGUCGUCAGCUCGUGUCGUGAGAUGUUGGGUUAAGUCCCGCAACGAGCGCAACCCUUAUCACUAGUAGCCAGCAGUAAGAUGGGCACUCUAGUGAGACUGCCAGGGUGAACCUGGAGGAAGGCGGGGAUGACGUCAAAUCAUCAUGCCCCUUAUGACUUGGGCUACACACGUGCUACAAUGGCGUAAACAGAGGGAAGCGAAGCGGCGACGUGAAGCGAAUCCCAGAAAAUACGUCCCAGUUCGGACUGCAGUCUGCAACUCGACUGCACGAAGCUGGAAUCGCUAGUAAUCGCAGAUCAGAAUGCUGCGGUGAAUACGUUCCCGGGUCUUGUACACACCGCCCGU
RNAcentral lists this ribosomal RNA (493 nucleotides) under uncultured bacterium. RNAcentral's name for it is "bacterial SSU rRNA". It matches the Rfam family "Bacterial small subunit ribosomal RNA", at positions 903 to 1397 of the family's 1533-position model. The record is from RNAcentral.